This 252-nucleotide ribosomal RNA is filed under the name uncultured bacterium. Its description in RNAcentral is "partial 16S ribosomal RNA". It matches the Rfam family "Bacterial small subunit ribosomal RNA", at positions 1248 to 1500 of the family's 1533-position model. The record is from RNAcentral.
GACGAAACAGUGAUGUGGAGUAAAACUUAUAAAAGCGACCUCAGUUCGGAUUGAAGGCUGAAAUUCGCCUUCAUGAAGUCGGAAUUGCUAGUAAUGGCAGGUCAGCAUACUGCCGUGAAUACGUUCCCGGGCCUUGUACACACCGCCCGUCACACCAUGAGAGUUGGAGAUACCCGAAGCCUAUGAGCUAACUUUUAGAGGCAGUAGUCGAAGGUAGAAUCAAUGAUUGGGGUGAAGUCGUAACAAGGUAAC